Zingiber officinale is the source of this 828-nucleotide long non-coding RNA. RefSeq lists it as uncharacterized. The transcript is spliced from 3 exons. NCBI's taxonomy places the organism in Eukaryota, Viridiplantae, Streptophyta, Magnoliopsida, Zingiberales, Zingiberaceae. The record is from RefSeq and is a predicted model, not a curated record.
CCUUUUCUUCCGUUUCUCACCCGACCCAAGCCACGCCGCCCUUUCUUCUUCCCCAUCUCGCCGAUUCCCUUUCUCCCCUUCGCUUCCUCGCGCCACCAUCCGAAGCCCGCAAUGGCGUCGGCCGAUCGUCGGCCUCGCUCACCCCGCACCGCAGAGCCUCCCUCUCCCCUCUUGCGCUGACCCUUUUCCCUCUUUUGGCCGAUCGACGCCGAUUAUCCUCAGAUCAUCGGUGCACACUCGAGCACCGACCCGAGCCGAGUCCACCUUUUGGUCACAGGCGCAGAUCUGGCCAUCGCCUUCACAGCCCUAGCCGCGGACACCAGGAACUUGCCGGAAACCAAGCGCGUGAGUCGGUGACAGUAGGGUUCUUAAGUCUUUUGCCUUUCUUGUGAUUUCUCUGAUUCCUGCUUCUUUGUUUUGAUUGGUCACCGUUCUUCCGAUCGGUCGAGGCUGAAGCAGCUCGGCCUUGUCGUCGCCUCUUCCCUUUCAUUGUCGGCAUAGAUCUAUGUCAUUGUUGUUUCGAGGGUUGAGUCGUCAUUCUUGUAAGGUUUGAUAUGUGAUCUGAGUCCUAGACUCAACCUGCUGCCACUGGAUCUCUGCACAUCGCAACUCCGAUCACUGGAUUUUGGUUCCUCUUCGUCGCUGGUACAGAUUGGUUAUCGAUCCAUUGGGUGGGACAGAUUUCAUACACAGAAUUAGAUUUAGCUCUGGCCAGCACUGUUCACCGGCGAUCCACAGUGUCGGCCAUCUUGUUACAACUGUGAGCUCUUCAGACAUGAGCUACCAGCAACUCACUUGAGAUUGGAUUCGCAAGGGAAGGAGUUAGUG